This 657-nucleotide ribosomal RNA is filed under the name uncultured bacterium. RNAcentral describes it as "bacterial SSU rRNA". It matches the Rfam family "Bacterial small subunit ribosomal RNA", at positions 848 to 1498 of the family's 1533-position model. The record is from RNAcentral.
UUAGCUAACGCGUUAAAUAUGCCGCCUGGGAAGUACGAGCGCAAGCUUAAAACUCAAAGGAAUAGACGGGGAUCCGCACAAGUGGUGGAGCAUGUGGUUUAAUUCGACAAUAAGCGAGAAACCUCACCAGGACUAGAAACUUAGCUGCAAGCCUUAGAAAUAAGGCCGCCUUCGAGGGUGCUAAGCAGGUGCUGCAUGGUCGUCGUCAGCUCGUGCCGUAAGGUGUUCCCUUAAGUGGGGAAACGAGCGCAACCCUUGUCGUAUGUUAUACAUGUCAUACGAGACUGCCCAGACUUUAGUCUGUGAACAAAUUGUUCGUAGUUUAAAGUCUGGGAGGAAGGAGAGGAUGACGUCAGAUCAGCAUGGCCCUUGACGUCCUGGGCAACACACGUGCUACAAUGGCUAGAAUAAAGGGUUGCCAAACCGCGAGGUGGAGCUAAUCCCAAAAAUCUAGUCUCAGUUCGGAUUGGAGUCUGCAACUCGACUCCAUGAAGUCGGAAUCACUAGUAAUCGUGAAUCAGAAUGUCACGGUGAAUACGUUCUCGGAUCUUGUACUCACCGCCCGUCAUACCAAGAGAGCUGGUAACACCCAAAGCUCCUGCGUAAAAACAGGAACAACGGUGGGAUCGGUAAUAAGGGUAAAGUCGUAACAAGGUA